RNAcentral lists this transfer RNA (65 nucleotides) under Dipodomys ordii (Ord's kangaroo rat). It matches the Rfam family "tRNA". Rfam says of the family: Transfer RNA (tRNA) molecules are approximately 80 nucleotides in length. Their secondary structure includes four short double-helical elements and three loops (D, anti-codon, and T loops). Lineage: Eukaryota; Metazoa; Chordata; Mammalia; Rodentia; Heteromyidae. The record is from Rfam by way of RNAcentral.
GGUGGCUCAGUGGUAGAGCGCUGGCUUUUUAUGCCUGAGGCCCUGAGUUCGAUUCCUCAGCACCA